RNAcentral lists this long non-coding RNA (653 nucleotides) under Mytilus galloprovincialis (Mediterranean mussel). The record is from RNAcentral. Lineage: Eukaryota; Metazoa; Mollusca; Bivalvia; Mytilida; Mytilidae.
AUUGAUUCGGAUAACUUAAAUUAUUUUGUUUCACAUGAGAGUAAGCCAAUACUUACUUUGUCAAGGAAAACUAGGGAUGAAUCAGUAGAAGGCCUAAUCUAAAUACGAAAUUUGAAUACUGACAUGAAUUAAUUUUUUAUGCAUAUCCGAUUCUUUGCACGUGUUAUGCAUGUGAGGUGCACCUAUAGAUAACAAAAGAACUAGAAUAGAAGUGACAAGUACUGAUAUACUUUUUCAUUAACAUUAUCAUAUAUAUGAGUCAUAAAUAUAAGUUAUGCGAAACAUUAACAUUUCGAUAGGGUAACAGGGCGACACUGGCAUACAACUAUUCUGUUUGAUAACGGAUAUAAAUAUUUUCAAAUCACUAAAAUAAAAAAAUAAAAAUACAAUUUAAACUUCAAGAAAAUAUGCAACUGAUUUAAGCUACAAGUUCGUGAGGAUUAACACAAGGAAAGCAUAUACAGAGAGAAAAUGGAAACUUUAAUAUGUAUCUUCUAUAUUUCGAAUUUCGAUACCAACAAGUGCCCAUAAUUAUCUAAUUUCGUGUCCUUGCAACUGCAAGUACUUUACGGACUAUUAACUGAUACCGCCUCUUCCCAACUGCAAUUAUGGAUAGUUGAUCAAUCAACUGCGACUUCUCUUCAAUUUCGGAC